RNAcentral lists this long non-coding RNA (497 nucleotides) under Mytilus galloprovincialis (Mediterranean mussel). The record is from RNAcentral. Lineage: Eukaryota; Metazoa; Mollusca; Bivalvia; Mytilida; Mytilidae.
CUCCUUUAUAAGUAAAACGAUAACUAUAUUUGGUAUGUGCGUACGCUGCAAGGUCCUCAUGUUUGUCAAACAGUUUUUACUUGUGACCUUGACCUUUUCAUGGAUCAGUGAACAAAGUUCAGUUUUUGUAGUCAAGUCCAUAUCACAGAUACUAUAACCAAUAGGUCUACUAUAUUUGAUAUAUGGAAUGAUUGUUAAGGUGUACACCUCCCAACUGACAGUUGUCAUCUGAUAUUGACCACAUUUCCAUGGUUCAGUGGUGAAUGUUUACUUCUUUAUUUCGUAGUCAAUUGUAUUUUUGUGUAUGGAAUGGUGGUAAGGUGUACAUGUCAGUCUGGCAUUAAUCAUGUAACCUUGACAUCAUUUUCAUGGUUCAUUGGUCAAUGCUAUUGUUUCAUUCGUUUCAAUAUAAAUUUUUAUUUAAGCCAAUAAUACAGGUAUUACUGAGUACGUAUACAGGUAAAAUGUAAUAUUCAAAAGAUAAUUUUAAUAAUAAC